Molecule: long non-coding RNA, 1060 nt
Filed under: Triticum aestivum (bread wheat)
Lineage: Eukaryota; Viridiplantae; Streptophyta; Magnoliopsida; Poales; Poaceae
Description: long non-coding RNA (TAES_LNC003932)
Source: RNAcentral
AAAAAACAAUUAUCAUUUUGUAGCAACUUAUAAUUUCGACUUGUAGCAACUUAUUAUUACAUCAUCCUAACUAGUACUAGUAACCGUCUGGUUUGCUUUCGCCUCUCAAUGAUUUUAUUUUCCACAUAUCGAUUUUUUUUAUAACAUUGAGCCAGUCCAUUCAUACCGAGCAAGAAGAGAAACCUUGCAACAAUUCAUGCCGAGUCCGUCAGAACCCCGCCAAAAAAAAGAAAGAAACCGAGUCAAUCGGCGAGUGAGACUGACUCGCGGGGCCCAAUUUGGACACGAGCUGAAAGAAGAUAACCCUAUCAGUGGCAGUGACAGACAAAGAACACUGACUAGACAACAGCAUUGAGCAUUCACAGGCCGAAGAAGUAUGCUGACGAGGUUCAGGUUCAGAGCACAAGGGCUCAGGGAUCUACAUCAGCUGACGCCCACGCGACAGGGUCGACGGCGAAAUGCAGCUCCAUGUCCGGAUCAAACUUCGAUGCCCGCAACUGCAUCUCACAGCGAAAACACAAAGAAAUUAAAUCGAGCAUCGACACAGUGGAGCAUAGCACUAGCUGUCAGCUAUAGCAAGGUGUAAAAAGUUUCGGUUUCAGAGUUUUUGAGCUCGGUGUCUCCUGAUUUUAGGUCACCAAUCGCCAGCGUUCUGCACGCCUAGCUUGAGCAUAUCUGGUUUCCAAUGCGAUAGGUAAGAUCAACUAAGAUAUCCCGGCUUUUUUCUCUCUCUCGAAAAAGAAAAAAGAAGAUAUCCAGGUUUUCUGAGCAAUUAUUUACUGAACUGAAGAUGGAACGGUCUAUUUUCAGAGCUCCAACAAAGUAACCACGACAGGUUCCGAACUGAAGGGAUAGACGGUCUUAUUUUGUUGGGUGUGGAUGAUCCAACUUUACUGAACUCAACUUACCCAAAAGUAAAUAAAGUUUUCCGAGCACUACUCUACUUCUGUUAAUACAUCUUAUUAUUGUCUUGCCCUUGAUGAAAAACAAAGUUCCCCUUUAUUCAAACCAGAACUUACCGGCUCCCUAAUUUCUAUGGAUGCAAGUGCAGAAAUCUUAC